Molecule: long non-coding RNA, 1361 nt
Filed under: Equus asinus (donkey)
Lineage: Eukaryota; Metazoa; Chordata; Mammalia; Perissodactyla; Equidae
Description: lncRNA (ENSEASG00005035818.1)
Source: RNAcentral
AGCAAGGACAGGGCAGAUACAGCGGGAGAUUGAGCUGGGCCACCAGUGUGGGUUGGCCUUGAGCUGGUAAGGGACAUUGAGACUUCUAGAGUGAAGGAAAAGAAAGUAAAAACCAAUGAAUAUAGAUAUGUUUACAGAGAAAUUGAGCGAGACCUCCCUGAUGACCUCAAUUUUUCCACUGAUGUAAAGGCAAGGUCAUCUGCUGAGAAUGAAAUCAGCAGUUGUUUGGAGAAAGGACUUGGGAGUGUGGCCCGUGGGCCAGCAGCAGCAGCAUCACCUAAGAGUUUCCUAGAAAUACAGAGUCUCAGGCCCCAGCCCAGACCUGCUGAAUCGACAUGCACAUUUAAACGGAUCCCCAGACCGAAGGUCUUUGGAGUCCCUGACCACCUAGGAAAUAUAACUCCUUGGUCUUGGAUUUCUCGGCCUGGUCCUCAGAAAUGGUGCUGGACAAAGCUGUGAAUCCCCCGGUGCAUAGUUGUAUAUUCUUCAUUGUGGGUCCUUCUAGUUGUGGCAUGUGGGACGCUGCCUCAGCGUGGUUUGAUGAGCAGUGCCAUGUCCGCGCCCAGGAUUCCAACCAACGAUACACUGGGCCGCCUGCAGCGGAGCGCGUGAACUUAACCACUCGGCCACGGGACCAGCCCCAUCCUAAGCUACCAUUUCAUGUGUUUUACAAACAGGUGUAUAAGAAGUAAUACAUUUUAAUGCCUUAUAGUUCCCUUGAUUGUGACUCUGGCCAACUUUACAAUGAAGUAGCAGGCUUCUCUGGAAAUUGAAUCCCAAAGAUUAAUUUUAACUAGGUAUAACUUGUCUUUUGGAUGCUUCCAAUUUAUUGCAAGUAGUUUUUAUAUUAAUAUUUUGUUCUGACUAAAUCAGUGGAGUUUAUUUAUUUGGCAACUUAUAUUUUUCUUAUUUUACUAUUUUGUUGUCGUUAAGCAAUAUGGAACAAUUGAAUGCUGUAGGUGCGUCUAUUUAGGUCCAUUUCAUGGAACAAUUAUUUAUUGAGCAUACACUUGGUGCUUGGAGAGCAAUAAAGCAGUGGCAUAGCAAGGGCAGAGUGGUGGGAGCAGUUCACCUGGAAUGCAGGCAAAAGGGAGUGCUUGUCUGGAGAGAAUCAAAAACAAUGACAAAACCGACGAAAAUCACUCUGCUUUUUGUUAUCACCGUGCACCAGAAAGUCUAAACAAUGGCAAAGCUUUUUGUUGUCCUAAGUUCUAAGCAAUUGCUGUGGAUACUGCUAAGUUUUAAUAAUAUAUAUGUUAGCUUCAAUUUAGCACAUUUUUAUUAUUUAUCCUUUAGUAAGCAUUUUAUUCCACAUGGAAGUUAAUAAGGAGAACUCCCAGAUAUAUUGUCAUUCCUGACAU